This 253-nucleotide ribosomal RNA is filed under the name uncultured bacterium. RNAcentral's name for it is "partial 16S ribosomal RNA". It matches the Rfam family "Bacterial small subunit ribosomal RNA", at positions 524 to 776 of the family's 1533-position model. The record is from RNAcentral.
GACGUAGGGUGCGAGCGUUGUCCGGAUUUAUUGGGCGUAAAGAGCUCGUAGGCGGCUCGUCGCGUCGACCGUGAAAACCCGCGGCUUAACUGCGGGCUUGCGGUUGAUACGGGCGGGCUAGAGUUCGGUAGGGGAGACUGGAAUUCCUGGUGUAGCGGUGAAAUGCGCAGAUAUCAGGAGGAACACCGGUGGCGAAGGCGGGUCUCUGGGCCGAUACUGACGCUGAGGAGCUAAAGCGUGGGGAGCGAACAGG